RNAcentral lists this unclassified non-coding RNA (339 nucleotides) under soil metagenome. Its description in RNAcentral is "partial contains 5.8S ribosomal RNA, internal transcribed spacer 2, and large subunit ribosomal RNA". The stretch from base 1 to 120 matches the Rfam family "5.8S ribosomal RNA", at positions 35 to 154 of the family's 154-position model. The record is from RNAcentral.
GAUGAAGAACGCAGCGAAAUGCGAUACGUAGUGUGAAUUGCAGAAUUCAGUGAAUCAUCGAAUCUUUGAACGCACAUUGCACCUCUCGGUAUUCCGGGAGGUAUGCCUGUUCGAGCGUCAUUUGUACCCUCAAGCUCGGCUUGGUGUUGGGUGUUUGUUCCGCCUCUGUGUGUGAACUCGCCUCAAAACAAUUGGCAGCCGGCGUACUUGUUUCGGAGCGCAGCACAUUUUGCGAUCCAGAUCAACGUACAGCGGCAUCCAAGAAGCCUUAUUUAACGCUCUUGACCUCGGAUCAGGUAGGGAUACCCGCUGAACUUAAGCAUAUCAAUAAGCGGAGGA